This 371-nucleotide ribosomal RNA is filed under the name uncultured bacterium. RNAcentral's name for it is "bacterial SSU rRNA". It matches the Rfam family "Bacterial small subunit ribosomal RNA", at positions 28 to 402 of the family's 1533-position model. The record is from RNAcentral.
GACGAACGCUGGCGGCGUGCUUAACACAUGCAAGUCGAACGGUAAGGCCCUUUUGGGGGUACACGAGCGGCGAACGGGUGAGUAACACGUGGGUGACCUGCCCUCAGCUCUGGGAUAAGCCUGGGAAACUGGGUCUAAUACUGGAUAUGACCUUUCCUCGCAUGGGGUUGGGUGGAAAGUUUUUCGGCUGGGGAUGGGCCCGCGGCCUAUCAGCUUGUUGGUGGGGUGAUGGCCUACCAAGGCGACGACGGGUAGCCGGCCUGAGAGGGCGACCGGCCACACUGGGACUGAGACACGGCCCAGACUCCUACGGGAGGCAGCAGUGGGGAAUAUUGCGCAAUGGGCGGAAGCCUGACGCAGCGACGCCGCGU